AAGGAGUAAAGAUGGGAGACACACAAAAAUAAAGGCAGUAUUCUACAAAGAUAGAAAGAUUAAAAGAGCUAGAGGCAAGAAAGAGGCAGACUUUAGUAGGGUCUCAAUAAAUAUAUGUUGAAAAAACAUGGUGUUUAAUUGUAGAUCACAACUUGCAAUUUAUUUAGGCAGAGUAUUUCAAAGCAAACAAGCACCCACUAUAGCUUGCCUUUCAAAUCAUUACUUUAAUUAGGCACAGUUUAGUUCUUCAAAUACCCUUAUCCUUAAACCUCUAGAGAGGAAAUUAUUCUCUGGGCUAGGGUGACUACAGGCCAGAUGGCAGUGAGUUAAGAACCAUGACUGAAAACUGUAACUUUUCCUCCCUGUUAUAAACCAUCUAUGGCUAUAAAUACUAAACCAAAAGAAUAGACACUGACAAGGCAUUAUAUGAUUUGAAUCACAAAGCUUAAAAUGUGUUUACCAUGAAAUAUUAAGGAAAGGAAAUGGACUAAUCCUUUUAAGAAAGAUUUUUCAACAGAAGUUGAAAUAAAGGAAAUCCUUUGCUUACCUCAAAAAGAAUAAGGAAAUUAAGUAAGCAUAAAUAUCGUAUUUCCCAAGCACUUUGAAGAUUUUCAAAUAUUUCAGGCCAUAAAACAGGAGGAAGAAAAUAGGUAAGAGCCACAUUAAUACUUUUAAAUUUGGACCCCUCAGUCUUAAAUAGGCCUUUCUCUCUUAAGCUGCAAUAGCACUUAAUCCUCUUUAAAAAACAUUUAUCAUACUUGUAAUCAUCUUAUUCAGUGUCGGUCUUGUCAAAACAAUAUAGCAUAAUGGGUUCAGAGCUGGCUCUGCCACUUACUAUUAAUAGCUUUGUGACCGUGGGAAAGUACCUUACUCCUCUGUGCCUCAGUCUACCCAUUUAAAAAUAGGGCUAAUAAGAAUACUUCUUCAGAGGGUUAGUGUGAUGAGUAAAUGAGCAAAAUGGAAGAUACCUAGUUCAAAAUAGGUACUCCAAAAAAUUUGUUAAAUAAAUAGUUGCUGAACGAGUUGAGUGAUUGAUUCUGUUGUUUCUCUGGAAGAAAAGACUGAUGGGGGGUCAAAGCCAGUGGUACCGUAAGGGGUUUUCUCGCUCUGGGAAGAUUCUUCAAGCAAUACUAUGUCAACCAACACAGAUGUUUCUCUUUCUUCAUAUGAUGAAGAUCAGGGAUCCAAACUUAUCCAAAAAGCUAAAGAGGCACCAUUUGUCCCCAUUGGAAUGGCAGGUUUUGCAGCAAUUGUUGCAUAUGGAUUAUACAAAUUGAAGAGCAGGGGAAAUACUAAAAUGUCCGUUCACCUGAUACGCAUGUGUGUGGCAGCCCAAGGCUUUGUUGUGGGAGCAAUGACUCUGGGUAUGGGCUAUUCCAUGUAUUGGGAAUUCUAGGCAAAACCUAAACCUUAGAAGAAGAGCUGCUGUCUUUGUCUUGGUCUUGUUGGAGGAGCUUGAUUUAGUUAUUGAGGUUACCUAUCGAUGUCAAAAAUAAAUUAUUUCAGUGAGUUCAGACAAUAAUACAGUAUUUUGAAUAUUGGCUUCCUUUCUUGCAGCUUGAUUUGCCUGGUGACCAAAUUACUAGUGACUAGUUCACUAACUAGGUCAUUCACGGGAGUCAAGUUAGCACAAAAAGAAACAUGUCACCUAAAUGCACUUGGUGAUGUUAAAAUGUCCACCUUCUUAAACUGUUAAAUGAAAUUAGUUCUAAAGAGGACAGCAGGCCAACCCUGAAGUACUCCCAGUUUGCUGCAGAACAUCUCAUGCUUUGGAUGUCAUGUAGGAGUCCUGUUUACCCCAGUUAAUUUAACUUUUUUCUGCCUGUCUUGGGGACUGGUUGAGUACUUCAGUUUUGGGGACUGGUUGGUUCUUUUAGAACUCUUUUUAAAAAAAGUGCAUGAAUAUAAUUUGUAAAGCCUUUCAAAAUUGAAAGUGUAUGUGUAUGUGUUUAAACCAAACCUAGAAAGCUUACAACAGAGCUGUAUAGUAGUAGUAUUUAUUUCAGAAUCACGAUUGUAAACACAAGAAAAACUUAAUUAUGGAUUCUCAUUUAGCCCUUUUGUAACUGUAAAAUUAUAUUUUUGCUGCGGUUAUAUUUGUGUAAUUUUUAAAUGUCACUUUGAA
Microcebus murinus (gray mouse lemur) is the source of this 2125-nucleotide non-coding RNA. The record is from RefSeq and is a predicted model, not a curated record. NCBI's taxonomy places the organism in Eukaryota, Metazoa, Chordata, Mammalia, Primates, Cheirogaleidae.